This 253-nucleotide ribosomal RNA is filed under the name uncultured bacterium. Its description in RNAcentral is "partial 16S ribosomal RNA". It matches the Rfam family "Bacterial small subunit ribosomal RNA", at positions 524 to 776 of the family's 1533-position model. The record is from RNAcentral.
UACAGAGGGGGCAAGCGUUGUUCGGAAUUACUAGGCGUAAAGGGCCAGUAGGCGGCCAACUAAGUCACACGUGAAAUCCCCAGGCUUAACCUGGGAACUGCGUGUGAUACUGGAUGGCUUGAAUUCGGGAGAGGGAUGCAGAAUUCCAGGUGUAGCGGUGAAAUGCGUAGAUAUCUGGAGGAAUACCGGUGGCGAAGGCGGCAUCCUGGACCGACAUUGACGCUGAACGGCGAAAGCUAGGGGAGCAAACGGG